Molecule: transfer RNA, 40 nt
Filed under: Gallotia galloti (Gallot's lizard)
Lineage: Eukaryota; Metazoa; Chordata; Lepidosauria; Squamata; Lacertidae
Description: partial tRNA-Thr
Source: RNAcentral
AAUUAUUAUCUUAGCCCUAGUAGCUUAUAUAAUAGCGCUG